GCGUGCUAGCUAGCUAGCUGUGGAAAAAAGCAUUUUUUGGUGCUUGUCCUUGUAACAUCUCUCCCCAAACUUCUUUCUGCUGGGAUUCAGAGGAAAAUCUUCCCUUUCUCUUCACCAACUAGGGAGUCGAUGCGGAGAUGAGCUCUACUGCUGCAGCAAAGAGGGUUUGCCUGGAGAACUAAUGCUUGAAGAAGCAGAUGAUGGAGAACCUGAGGUUAACUGGAUAUAAAACCCUCCCGCCUGCA
This is a long non-coding RNA of Solea senegalensis (Senegalese sole), 245 nucleotides long. RefSeq lists it as uncharacterized. The transcript has 3 exons. Lineage: Eukaryota; Metazoa; Chordata; Actinopteri; Pleuronectiformes; Soleidae. The record is from RefSeq and is a predicted model, not a curated record.